AGAUGUGCCGCCCCAGCCAAACUCCCAACCUGACAGUGUCUUCGACACGGAUCGACCCGCCGAUGGGGCCUUAAUUCUAGAAAAUGAGCCGUGAAGCUCGCUUCCGCUUAAUCGAAUAAGUAAAAAAACUAUAAGAGUAUUUAUAGGUGGGAGCGCAAGCGACAGUGAAAUACCACUACUCUUAUAGUUUUUUUUACUUAUUCGAUUAAGCGGAAGCGAGCUUCACGGCUCAUUUUCUAGAAUUAAGGCCCCAUCGGCGGGUCGAUCCGUGUCGAAGACACUGUCAGGUUGGGAGUUUGGCUGGGGCGGCACAUCUGUCAAAUGAUAACGCAGGUGUCCUAAGGUGAGCUCAAUGAGAACGGAAAUCUCAUGUAGAACAAAAGGGUAAAAA
Long non-coding RNA from Hydractinia symbiolongicarpus, 391 nucleotides. RefSeq lists it as uncharacterized. The transcript has 2 exons. The record is from RefSeq and is a predicted model, not a curated record. NCBI's taxonomy places the organism in Eukaryota, Metazoa, Cnidaria, Hydrozoa, Anthoathecata, Hydractiniidae.